RNAcentral lists this ribosomal RNA (510 nucleotides) under Gymnopternus cupreus. Its description in RNAcentral is "partial 16S ribosomal RNA". It matches the Rfam family "Bacterial large subunit ribosomal RNA", at positions 1819 to 2597 of the family's 2925-position model. Lineage: Eukaryota; Metazoa; Arthropoda; Insecta; Diptera; Dolichopodidae. The record is from RNAcentral.
GUCUUUUUGAGUUUAAUUUAAGGUCUAAUCUGCCCACUGAUAAUAUUUAAGGGCCGCAGUAUUCUGACUGUGCAAAGGUAGCAUAAUCAUUAGUCUUUUAAUUGAGGGCUUGUAUGAAUGAUUGGACGAGAUAUAAACUGUCUCAUAAAAAUUUAAGUAGAAUUUUAUUUUUUAGUUAAAAAGCUAAAAUAAAUUUAAAAGACGAGAAGACCCUAUAGAUCUUUAUAAUUUAUUUAUUAAUUUUUUUAGGUUAUUUUUUAAUUUUAUAAAUUAAAUUAUUUUGUUGGGGUGACAGUGAAAUUUAUAAAACUUUCAUAAUUUUUAUUACAUUGAUUUAUGAUAAAUUGAUCCAUUUUUAGUGAUUAAAAAUUUAAGUUACCUUAGGGAUAACAGCGUAAUUAUUUUGGAGAGUUCCUAUCGAUAAAAUAGUUUGCGACCUCGAUGUUGGAUUAAGAUUAAUUCUGGGUGUAGCAGUUCAGGUUAUUAAGUCUGUUCGACUUUUAAUUUCUU